GCAACCCCACGUCUAAGGCCAUGUUGCGACGGUUGCAAUUGUGCGGCACGGGAGGUGAUGCCAGCAUGACAGUGUUCGCCCGGAGCUAGGAAAAGACCUAGCGCACAACCAGCCCAUGUGAGCGCCGGGACCGCCGUGGACGUCGGCUGCGGAGCAUGAUGGUUGUUACGAUCCCACAUCGACUAAGUAUGAGAUUAGUUGAUGCUUUAUAAGCCUCUAGACACCCUUCCCUUGUAAGCUAGUUUUUAAAGGUGAGUUCUACCUAAUGAGUUCAUAACAGCUACAC
This is a long non-coding RNA of Juglans microcarpa x Juglans regia, 286 nucleotides long. RefSeq lists it as uncharacterized. The transcript has 3 exons. The record is from RefSeq and is a predicted model, not a curated record. NCBI's taxonomy places the organism in Eukaryota, Viridiplantae, Streptophyta, Magnoliopsida, Fagales, Juglandaceae.